Molecule: ribosomal RNA, 490 nt
Filed under: uncultured bacterium
Lineage: Bacteria
Description: partial 16S ribosomal RNA
Rfam family: Bacterial small subunit ribosomal RNA
Source: RNAcentral
GAUGAACGCUAGCGAUAGGCUUAACACAUGCAAGUCGAGGGGCAGCAUGGUCUUAGCUUGCUAAGACUGAUGGCGACCGGCGCACGGGUGCGUAACGCGUAUGCAACUUGCCUCACAGAGGGGGAUAACCCGUCGAGAGACGGACUAAUACCGCGUACACUCCAUCUUGGGCAUCCAAGGUAGAGGAAAUGAAAUUCGCUGUGAGAUAGGCAUGCGUCCCAUUAGCUAGUUGGUGAGGUAACGGCUCACCAAGGCGACGAUGGGUAGGGGAACUGAGAGGUUGAACCCCCACACUGGUACUGAGACACGGACCAGACUCCUACGGGAGGCAGCAGUGAGGAAUAUUGGUCAAUGGGCGAGAGCCUGAACCAGCCAAGUCGCGUGAAGGAUGACUGUCUUAUGGAUUGUAAACUUCUUUUAUACGGGAAUAACAAGAGUCACGUGUGACUCCCUGCAUGUACCGUAUGAAUAAGCAUCGGCUAACUCCGUG